This 1397-nucleotide ribosomal RNA is filed under the name metagenome. RNAcentral's name for it is "SSU rRNA". It matches the Rfam family "Eukaryotic small subunit ribosomal RNA", at positions 6 to 1417 of the family's 1831-position model. The record is from RNAcentral.
GGUUGAUCCUGCCAGUAGUCAUAUGCUUGUCUCAAAGAUUAAGCCAUGCAUGUCUAAGUUCAAGCAAAAAUAAUGUGAAACCGCGAAUGGCUCAUUAUAUCAGUUAUGGUUCCUUAGAUCGCACUUACUACUUGGAUAACUGUGGUAAUUCUAGAGCUAAUACAUGCGUUGGACUCCAAACUUUACGGUGAGGAGUGCUUUUAUUAGAUCAAAGCCAAUCGGGUCUUCGGAUUCGUUUUGUUGGUGACUCUGAAUAACUUUGCUGAUCGCACGGUCUUGCACCGGCGACGUAUCUUUCAAGUGUCUGCCUUAUCAACUGUCGAUGGUAGGUUAUGCGCCUACCAUGGUUGUAACGGGUAACGGGGAAUCAGGGUUCGAUUCCGGAGAGGGAGCCUGAGAAACGGCUACCACAUCCAAGGAAGGCAGCAGGCGCGCAAAUUACCCACUCCCGGCACGGGGAGGUAGUGACGAAAAAUAACGAUACGGAACUCAUACGAGGCUCCGUAAUCGGAAUGAGUACACUUUAAAUCCUUUAACGAGGAUCUAUUGGAGGGCAAGUCUGGUGCCAGCAGCCGCGGUAAUUCCAGCUCCAAUAGCGUAUAUUAAAGUUGUUGUGGUUAAAAAGCUCGUAGUUGGAUCUCGGUUUCGGGUGGAUGGUGCAUCUUGCGGUGUUUACUAUCUACUCGGACGAUUUUGUUGGUUCGUUCCUGGUUCUCUUAAUCGAGUGCCUUGAGUGGCCAACACGUUUACUUUGAAAAAAUUGGAGUGCUCAAAGCAGGCGCUACAGCCUGAACAUUAGUGCAUGGAAUAAUGGAAUAGGAUCUCGGUUCUAUUUCGUUGGCUUUCGGAGUCGAGGUAAUGAUUAAUAGGGACAGACGGGGGCAUUCGUACUGCGACGUUAGAGGUGAAAUUCUUGGAUCGUCGCAAGACGAACUACUGCGAAAGCAUUUGCCAAGAAUGUUUUCAUUAAUCAAGAACGAAAGUUAGAGGUUCGAAGGCGAUCAGAUACCGCCCUAGUUCUAACCAUAAACGAUGUCGACCGGCAAUCUGCUCUCGUUAAAUUAAUGACUGAGCAGGCGGCCUGCUGGAAACAAGAGUAUUUGGAUUCCAGGGGGAGUAUGGUUGCAAAGCUGAAACUUAAAAGAAUUGACGGAAGGGCACCACCAGGAGUGGAGCCUGCGGCUUAAUUUUACCCAACACGGGAAAUCUCACCAGGCCCGGACACCGGAAGGAUUGACAGAUUGAGAGCUCUUUCUUGAUUCGGUGGGUGGUGGUGCAUGGCCGUUCUUAGUUGGUGGAGCGACAGGCAAGUCUAGUACGCACCUUCUAGAUCUUCAUCUUUGCCCCCCUAGAUCGGAAGAGCACACGUCUGAACUCCAGUCACAUCUCGUAUGCCG